Cebus imitator (Panamanian white-faced capuchin) is the source of this 2339-nucleotide long non-coding RNA. RefSeq lists it as uncharacterized. The transcript has 3 exons. Lineage: Eukaryota; Metazoa; Chordata; Mammalia; Primates; Cebidae. The record is from RefSeq and is a predicted model, not a curated record.
UUCUCCGGCAAAGCACAAUGCCUUCCUCACGUGGCCUGCCUCAUCUCAGCCACCGUCUUCCGGCUGUGCGGUGGGUGAGGGCACUUCAGACUGUCUCCAGCACUAAGUGCAGCAUGCCAGUGAGGCCCAGCUAGCGCCAGACACAGAGCGAUGGGAUGCCUGCAAUCACAGCUCUUUGAAGUUCCUGUUUGCCUCUGCUACUCACUCACAGUGUGAGGUGGGGAAAGUCAACACCUCUGUGCCUUGGUUAGCUCAUCACUUCACAGGGUCAUUGCUAAUAAACUAAAUUAAAUCAUAUGAAAUAAUUACAUAUAGUACAUACCCUGUACAGUGACUGGCACACAAGCAUGUUCUCCGUAACUGGCUAAUACAGAACCCCACUGUAUCCACGGGGGAAAUGUUCCAGGACCCCCAGUGGAUGCUCAGAACCUGCGAGAGUAUGGGACCUCAUAUGUACUAUUUUUUUUUUGUAUAGGUACCUACCUGUUAUAAAGUUUAAUUUAUAAAUUACUUGCCUAAGAGAUUAUCCACAAUAAUAAUAGAGCAGAACAAUGAUCACAAUAUACUGUAAUACAAGUUAUGUGGCCAUGUCUCUCCUUGUUUCUCAAAAUACCUUAUUGUUCUUGCCCUUCUUCUUGUGAUCUGUCGAACUGAUCACCACGAUGGCUGUAAGUGACUAGCAGGUAGGCAGUGUAGACAGCGUGGAUCCACUGGACAAAAGGAUGAUUCAGAACCCAGGACAGAUGGAGUGGGACAGUAUGUGAUUUCAUCAAGCUUCUCAGAAUGGCAUGCAAUUUAAAAUGUAUGCAUUGUUUAUUUCUGGAAUUUUCCAUACAAUAUUUUUGGGCUCCAAUUACCUGACCACAGGUAACUGAAACCAUAGAAAGCGAAACAGUGAAUAAGGGGAGACUACUUAAUCCUAAGGCUCAACUAGAAUGCAACAAAAUCAUAAGACCUCAGGUCAACCCAAAGUGGCUUUUCACAGACGCAACACUGUGGUCUGGCGGCCCUGGGUCUGGCGGUCAGCACAACCAGUUAAGUCCUAUGCCAUCUCAGCAAUUUACUGAUUCUCUCAUGAAAUUAGUUGAGCACAUACUAAUGGUGCUCAGGACCAUCAGGACCAAAAAGAUCAGUUAAGACAGCUGCCGACCAUGAGGAGUCUAGCACGGUGAACAGACAUCCCCAGCAAUGAAGCCCACCGGUGUGGCAGGUACUGUUACAGGUACAAGCGGGGGCUGCAGGAGCAUGGACAAUGCUGGGGGUGAGAGAAGGCUUCCAGUGGGAGAUGCCAUGUCUGGCCAAAAUACAAACAAAAAGACAACCUCUGUUCCCAUCGCUGACCCUGUCAUCAAGACCCAGCUGAGCAGGCAGCAGGCCUGGACUCUGGAAUGUCUAAGUCCAUCAGGGUAAUGCUUGCCACUGUCCCCCUUGCUGGCUCAAAGAAAAUUCCAGAGAGGCUGCACAGGCCUGGCUUGGGGCCACCCAGCGCCCUGACCAGCCUGGGGCCCUUGCAUCUUCCGAACUGAGAUGGGCUUGCCUAUGGCACAGAGUUCUAAACCGUAGGCAGGUGUCUUUGGUAUAAAUUCAGAGCCCUCUGCUUCCUCUGCCCACUCAUAACUUCACACUUUUCCCCAAGCUGCCUUUGCCUGGAACACCUUUCCUACAAGAAACACGAAGCCUCUUCUCUUUUUCUCUUUCAAAAAAAUUAAUCUCCUCCGAGCCCAUCUGCUCUAGAAAACCAUCCAGAUACAAUGGCUGCUCUUCCCCUUCGACAGGCCACAAGGCCAGCAAACAUCACAGCCCCUCAGGUGUCCCUAGUCCUGAAGAUGGACAUCACUUCCUGCCUAUCUGUCCUGCAGGAGCAGGGGAAUGAGGCAGGCAAGGGUGCUACAGCUUGGCAUGAAGGACUGAAGGGGGAUGAAGGGCGUCCCGCAGCCCCAGUGACCAGUCAAGGCAGGUGCGCUGAGGCAGGGAGGGAUGGAGAACAGAAGGAGACUCCUGGAGCCAGGAGUCCUGGGUUCACAGCAUCAUUCCUCCCUUACCCAGCAUGUGACCUUGGGCAGGGUGUUCUACCUUCAAGGGUCUGCGAUUUCUCAUCUGAGAACCAGGAGGCCUGGCCGGAGAAGGCGAAGACAAGUCUCCCUUCUCUAUAGGCUGGAAUUAGGAGGUGAUCCCUUCUCCCUGAGACUGGCACAACUGCUCUUCCAUCUACAGCCAGGCAAGCCAAGAUAGUACACGUGAUAUUUGGCACGUCCAUCUGUGGAGGGAAUGAACUCUGCCCAAAUUCACCCAUCAAUUAAGGGUCUUAUUUUGUCGCCCAGGCUGGAGUGCAGUGAUGC